Mus musculus (house mouse) is the source of this 469-nucleotide long non-coding RNA. RefSeq annotates it as predicted gene, 57482. Lineage: Eukaryota; Metazoa; Chordata; Mammalia; Rodentia; Muridae. The transcript is spliced from 3 exons. The record is from RefSeq and is marked validated.
GUGUGGAACUGCACGCAAAUGGCCAGAAGGAGUGGCCGGCAUAUCAAGGGAGUCCCCCUGCCCAUUUAUGAUGGACUAUUGCAGCCGAUGCCGUGUGACCUCAUGCUCCAACUGCCGUGCCUUCCCCAUGGUGAACUGUACCAUCAAAUGGUGAGCCACAAUGAGCCUCUUUAAGCUGCUUCUGUCAAGUAUUUAUCACAGCAACAAGGAAAGCAGGAAAGUAAUGCACUAAGAGGGAAUUCUCUCUGUCUCUCAGAUGAUACAGCAAAGGCGUACGGGGGUCAGACAAUUUGUCUUCUGCCACUUGGAGCUGGAUCAGGGCCAAGUCUAAUUCUGAGCUGCAGAGUGUGGUAUCGUCAUACUCUCUGCCCCAGCCUCAAUUCACCUUGCCUAAGAGGAGCACCAGGACUCACCAGAUCUGUGAAACCUUCCCAAUGAGUCUCUUACAUAAAUUAAAGCUAAUCAAACA